GAUUGACAUUAUCAAUAAUUUUGACAAAAUUAUUUUGGGUAUAUGAGGAAUAGAUACAACUUAAAUUAUAUGUUAAAUUAUCAUUAGGAAAAUUACAAAACGAGAAGAAAUGUCUUCUCGGAUAGAACCUGAUAAGUACACCCUAUAUUGCCAUUACCCGGACAAUUAUUCCGAAGAAUUAGGCCUCAUACGAAAAGAUGUUAAUCGUGUAAAAGAGUGGCAGCCUCAAGCGACGCUUUGGAUGUUGCUUUAUGCUUUAUUGCUCUGGCUUGUUACGUACGUAAUGGUGUUAACGCUGUCUAUGUGCUUUGAUUUCGGAUUUCGUUCCAUGACGAGUUUCAACAGUCUCUUUCGUUGGCAUAAUGAUUCUUCAUACGAACAUUAUAAUUCUAAAUACAUGAUAUCCUAUUAAAUUGUCUAUGUUUUUA
Molecule: long non-coding RNA, 428 nt
Organism: Manduca sexta (tobacco hornworm)
Lineage: Eukaryota; Metazoa; Arthropoda; Insecta; Lepidoptera; Sphingidae
Exons: 2
Source: RefSeq, a predicted model, not a curated record